RNAcentral lists this ribosomal RNA (497 nucleotides) under uncultured bacterium. Its description in RNAcentral is "partial 16S ribosomal RNA". It matches the Rfam family "Bacterial small subunit ribosomal RNA", at positions 28 to 507 of the family's 1533-position model. The record is from RNAcentral.
GAUGAACGCUGGCGGCGUGCCUAAUACAUGCAAGUCGAGCGAACGGACGAGAAGCUUGCUUCUCUGAUGUUAGCGGCGGACGGGUGAGUAACACGUGGAUAACCUACCUAUAAGACUGGGAUAACUUCGGGAAACCGGAGCUAAUACCGGAUAAUAUUUUGAACCGCAUGGUUCAAAAGUGAAAGACGGUCUUGCUGUCACUUAUCGAUGGAUCCGCGCUGCAUUAGCUAGUUGGUAAGGUAGCGGCUUACCAAGGCAACGAUGCAUAGCCGACCUGAGAGGGUGAUCGGCCACACUGGAACUGAGACACGGUCCAGACUCCUACGGGAGGCAGCAGUAGGGAAUCUUCCGCAAAGGGCGAAAGCCUGACGGAGCAACGCCGCGUGAGUGAUGAAGGUCUUCGGAUCGUAAAACUCUGUUAUUAGGGAAGAACAUAUGUGUAAGUAACUGUGCACAUCUUGACGGUACCUAAUCAGAAAGCCACGGCUAACUACGUG